ACGGAGGGUGCAAGCGUUAAUCGGAAUUACUGGGCGUAAAGCGUACGCAGGCGGCUUGUUCAGUCAGAUGUGAAAGCCCUGGGCUUAACCUGGGAACUGCAUCUGAUACUGGCAAGCUUGAGUUUCGUAGAGGGGGGUAGAAUUCCAGGUGUAGCGGUGAAAUGCGUAGAGAUCUGGAGGAAUACCAGUGGCGAAGGCGGCCCCCUGGACUAAAACUGACGCUGAGGUGCGAAAGCGUGGGGAGCAAACGG
RNAcentral lists this ribosomal RNA (251 nucleotides) under uncultured prokaryote. RNAcentral describes it as "partial 16S rRNA". It matches the Rfam family "Bacterial small subunit ribosomal RNA", at positions 525 to 775 of the family's 1533-position model. The record is from RNAcentral.